CGACCGUUGGCGGGUCGGGAGAGGGCCGGCGCCCGGGGGCGCUGCGGCGGGAUCUCGGCCGCUCCCGGGCCAGGUGAGGACUUGGAGCCGGUCCUCCAGCCGUGCCGUACGGUGGUGAUAAACGAGAGUCAAACAAUAGGUUUGGGGACAAACAUGAACCACAUGCUGCCUGGGAUGAAGAGAGUGAGCUGGAAGGAGAGUAAUCACCAGCUCAAGAAACCCCGAGGUUCAGAGAAUCUUCCAGAGGAAGAGGCCAAGUUCUGAGUGGGAGAACUUGAGUGAUGGAUGGCGAGGUUGAAUUGGAGGUCAUGUCCCGGACCUGAGAUGGGAGCUGCUCAGCACUGAGCCUCUAUCCUGACCCACCGCCUCCAGGGGUCCCCUAGAUCAGAGCCUCUAGGAAAAGUACCACUCUGGAGGGCUUGUUCCCUCCCCUACCACCUCAGAUUUCAACAUUGUUCAUCCUCUAGAAGAGACCAGCCCUGCCCCUGGAGCCUCUCCGAAUUAUAGAUGACACUGGGUUUACCACAUCUUUAGGACCCAGGAGCCAAGAGAAGGAGCUUGGCAUCCCGGUUCUCUGUCCUUUGCCCAGGAGUCACCAAAAGAAAAAUGUAUGGUCUCACAGCAGGCGCAGCAUCUUAUUUCUUUUAAAAAAUAAAUAUUUAUAAACUUAGGGAGGAAGAUUCAAAGAAUCAAGAGUAUUUUUCCCUCCAAAAGCACAAAUGUCUCAUGUGAGUCAAACCAAGGUAAGUCCACCACCCAUGAACAAAACACCACCCCCCAAGAACUCUGCCUUGAAGGGCAGAGGAGCUGAUUUUUGUCUUGAGCCCCUUAGUCCCCCUUGGUGAUCAGGUCCUCGAUGUAGGCAUCCAGCUCAUCAUCUGUGUUGAUGUCUAUGUCCUGGAAUAGAAGGAAGCAGUCAGGUGGGGGCCAGAAGGCCGAAGGGGGGGCCCACCUCCCCAUCCUUCUUGCAGGCAAUGGAGCCUGAGCCCAGAGUCCCCUCCUCUCCCCCCUCCACCCUGGCUGUCAAGGCCUGUCCCACCUUGAUCCUUCUCCCCCUUCCCAUCCUCAAUACACAGAUGACGCCCAGAUUUCUUGCUCCUGCCCUGCUCCUGCCCUGUGUGCCCCAGGAUCCUGGGUGCCUUAGAUGUGUUGCAGGCUUCUCAGACUCAGUACACUCAAAACAGCUCAACUGCACCACCCCACCCCAGGCUGUGCCCAUCUCAAUAUAGGUCACCACCUUCCCUCACCCAGGGACUCAAGACAAAUCAGAAGAAUCACCCCUGUUUCCUUCCUUCCCCCCCAAAUAUUACAAAUCUGCCUUUCACAUGGUCACCAAGAUUCAAGCCAUCAAAAUCGCUCAUUCAGAUAAGUAUGGGAACCUCCUCACCCAAGUCCUGGAUUCUAACUUCCACCCCACUCCAGGACUUCCUAUAACCAACUAAAUGUCUUAAUCUGCAAACAGGAUUGGGCCAUACCCCUCCAGGGACAGCUCACCUCAUACAGGCCCUGCCUCUUCUAUUGCCUGCAACUCCCUGCCUUGAGCCUUAGGUCCUACCCUUUCCUCUGCCCAAAGCACUCACAUCUUGUAUGUGACUGAUUCUACUCUCAGCUCAAAUAUCCCCUUCUCAGAGAGGCCACCGCUGAACACCCUCUGUGUCUUCCUUCUCUUACAUGAAGUGUUUUCUUCAUAGAACUUCCUGCCAUCAAUAAUUUUGUGUCCUUCACCAGUCUGUUGGGCCAUGAGUGUAGUAGGGACCAUAUCUUGCCUAUCUGGUUCACCCAAUAUCCCACAGGAAACAAAGCAAGUCCCAAGUUUUGACUGCCUGGAUGAAGGACUGAGACCCUAAAGGGGUACUCCUUACAAUCCCAAUCUGGGCGUCAUCUGGAAAAGUGAGAAUUUCUGUUUUAUGGCUCGGAGGAUUCUCAAACCAGGUUGUAAAUCAGAAGAUCUAAACAAGGGCAAAAAUCUGAUACCGUGGGUCUGGCUGGGAUGAGGCCCAGGCAGCCGCACCACCUCCAGCCCUCCUGGUCAGGAUGCUGUGCAGCCAGGGUUGGAACCACAGAUUCCUGUGAGUGGGGAGAAGGGAGCAGGAGGUGCCCAGGCCCCCCUCCCUGAGACACCAGGUGGUCCAGCUGCAAUGAGAGGGCUGCCUGGCUCACCUCCUGCACCUUUUGCAGGAGCGCCACGAUGUUGGUCCUCAGCUUCUGCAGCUUCUCCUCUGUCUCUCGGAGCUUUCUCUCAGAAGUGCGCAGGCUCUCCUCGGAGGCCUUGGCCCGUGAGUCAGCACGGCUCUGGUAGGAAUGGCACAGAUUCUGGAGUCCCACUUCAUACUGCUUGAAGUACUCUUUCUGUAGAGAGGGAACCCAGAGGUAUUUGUAGGACUCCUGAGGACUUUAUGAAACUCCCAUCCAGGAUGAUGGCAAAAAGGAUGACCUUUCACAGACUGACAAGAACAUAAUGAACAUUAGAAAUCUCUGUUGUGUCCCUGACGUUAAAAAAAUUAGUUUAGACCUUACAGUCCGCGGACUAUAAAGUUGAUGCAUUGGUGGUAUACUUCCUUUUACAAGCAUAAGGUAGCUAAUAGACUCUUUUAUUAGCUCAGAUGCUAAUAAAAGCUCAGAUGCUCCUGGCUGACCGUGUUUUUGGUCUGAACAGAGAAGAUCCCAGUGGACCCAGGCUUUGCUCUGAGUCUGGCAACAACUUUAAACCACAAGCAACAAAUUUGACAAGAGGAUGCCAGGCCACCUACCUAAGCAUCCUAAUUAGUGGAUUGUUCAUGGGAUUUGCAGAGGGCAGCUGCAGCCUCAACAAGGGCCAGAGCUGAGACACAGAGCUUUCUGAGGAAGCUUUCUGAUGAGCUCUGCCAUCCUCUAGCUUCCUCGGCCUGCACCUGCCCUCUCCUCUCAUGGGAAGCAAGGCAGUACUGGAAGAAGGGCAAGCCCCGUGUCCUAAAGUAGUAGUACCUGGAUUCAAAUCUGGGUUCUAUCACAACAGAUUCUUCACCUGAGCCUCAGUUUCUUCAACUCCUAAUACUCCCUUUUUUUCUUUUUAGUAAAAUGAAGAUUAAAAGCCCUAUCUCUUCCUCUUUGGAAACCAUCAAACACACAGCUGCCACACAAGGGCCCAAUAUCUACAGUUUCAAUUCUAGUUCUGUUCUCUAGAAACUCUUCCCUAGAAAACUUAAGCUAUUCCAAACAUAAACAUAUCUGUCCCACUUGAGGAAGACAACUCCCAGAUUCCAUCUGCAGCCCUAACCGUCCCACCCCUCCAAGUGCCCCAUCCCUGAUCUCGACCUGCGCACUAAACAUCACCAGAAAUGCAGAUGGCCAGUGUUCCCAGCCCAACACAAAUCACAACUUAUCACCGCUCUUACCCCCACUGUUUUCUCCCAGUUAAUAGCUUUGUCAUCACUUCCCACAGGCCUGAGACACAAAGAAGUACAUGGCCUCUGCCUCCUCCCCCAUCAUUUGCCUCCAGUCAACCACCUCUGACAUGGCCCUUUCACCCACCAGUCCACUCCCACCACUCUAACUCAAGUUCCCAUUCCCUCAUCUCUGACCUUUCACAACUCAACUGGCCCUCUUGCCUCGGCAUCUUCCAUCCACCCAUCUCACCCAAACCUACUGCCAUGAGAGCUAUCCUCUUAGGGCAGGGUCAGCAGACUAGAGCCCCAGGCCAAAUCAGCCUGCCACCUCUUUUUGUAAAUAGAGCUUUACUACAGAACAGCCACAUCCAUUCCUUUACAAAUGGUCUACUGCAGUGUCAUAGUGUUUAGCUGCCACAGAGCUGAAAAUAUUUGCUAACUGGCCCUCUAGAGAAAAAGUUUGUUUUUCUGCCCUAGACCAGGUUCAGAAUGACAAUUCCCCUGGCUCAAAACUUUUGCUGGCCCUCCAUUUUAUACAAGGUUUAAACACCAAGCCCCUAAGAUCAGACAUUCAAAAAGUACCAUAUCUUGACUCUCAGGGCCCUCUUCUUCCCUAAAUGCUCACCACAUAGUCUGCUGCCUUGACCUGGGAACUUCCAUCCCUCUGAACCCCUGCUCACAAAGUCGCCCUGCCUCAAAUCUUCCCUGUCACUUACACAGGCACUUGCAGAGACCCACAUCUUCAGACUGCUGCUCCCUCCCCAAGGCUGCCACAGCCCAACUGCUUCCAUGGCACUUACUGCUCUCAGUCUCAUGUCCAGCUACCUAGUAAAAAUUCAGUCUCUACUGAAUCAUAAGGCACUUGGGAGGCAGGAUUCUCUACUGCUGCUCAUGAAGAGAUCCAGCACAGGGCCUGUGCCACUUUAGCAUAACACCCAGUGCUUACAAAAAAACACUACCCACAUCUCUACCUCACUGUAAGAGUCAAGUUUUAGGCACUUUAAGUCUAAGUUCUUCACUGUUGCCUGGGACAAGUUUACUCCCUCUGCUGAGGCGGAGGAAAACAGAUACACUCUAGGAAAUGUCAAACCAGGCCUGAUGUCCCUAAGUGAGGACUCAGCCCCAGCAUCUUAUGAAUGGUGUGGUUGGCUUCUGCAUACCACAAUCAUAGCCAGCUUUGGCACUUUUUUCUACACGUUUUCUAUUUCUCUCAGCAAAAGAGAGGCUGUGAGGGGGCAUA
Long non-coding RNA from Canis lupus familiaris (dog), 4605 nucleotides. RefSeq lists it as uncharacterized. Lineage: Eukaryota; Metazoa; Chordata; Mammalia; Carnivora; Canidae. The transcript is spliced from 4 exons. The record is from RefSeq and is a predicted model, not a curated record.